GUGCAAUGAUCAGGUAAGAGCAAUGUCUGUAUAGAUUAAACCGAAUGUACAAUUUUUUGGCCCAGAGGUCACCCUCUAUUUCCAAGAGGAGAGUCAGCUUCAACGUGGUGAGACCUGAUAAAAUGAGAUAGGGGGCUAAGAGUCACCGACCUCAGAGGGAGAAAACUGGAGCAAAUAAAAAGCACAUCCCAGGUUUUGACAUGGUGGAGAUCACAUCAAGGCCUCAGCUACAGCAUCUUGAAGCAUGCGAAUCUCCCGCUGAUGGACGACCGCCAAGGACCCCUCACAGAGACCCCACAAGCGAAUGUUACGUUCCAUCACAGCAGCGACUACCCGCAACAACUCAGGAGGACUGAAAGUCAGCGGGCUUCUUUAAAUCCCACCACCAAGCCUUUCUUUACACCCAGGAGCUCGACAGUAUGUCAGUCAGCUAUCGGUCUCUGAAGGACAAAGACCAGCCCUGUUGGUGUCUGCUUGACACACCGAGCACCUAGCCAGUAGAGCUUGACAUAGUACGACGAAGUGACUAAAUCAUUGCAGCUCCAAAAACCCAGUUUACAUUUUCCAGCUCGAAUGUUGCUUCUGCAGUAGACUUGUUAAUCAAGAUCGGCAAAUUGGUGCGAAUGGGAUUCAAACAAACAAGUUCCAGCUCACUAUCGUGACUGCAAUCGAACAAAAAAAUCCCCAGAAAAACACGGAAAAUACAAGUAAUCUACAAAAAUAUUACUUCAUGUUUUUAACUAAUUGCUGUGUCUGGUGGGAAAAAAAAUAAUCUAAAUUUGAAGCUAACUUUAAAUAUUCAUUUGAGAUAUAUUCUCUGUGCAGUCACUCUGAUUUCAUGGAGAAAAAUCUCUAAUUCUAUCAAAUAAUGUGUGUUUUGAGAAGAACUGGCAAAGAGGUAGAAUUUUAUGCAUCCCCAAAGCUCGAUUUAAACUGAAAUGUAUGCAUAUAGAUUUGUAAUUGUUUAAUACUGGCUUCCAGAAAAGAGAGCUCAAAGAAACAGCGGUAAGAAAUAAUAAAAUGGUGAUAAAGCAUGGAAGAAACAAAUCUAAUUGAAGGAUCCUAAAUGCUUGGCUUAAACACAAAAGAAAUAAAGCAUUUAAUCACUGCAAUAUUUAGUGCCAAAUAUAUCCAAUGCCAUGUGUCUGCAAAGUGACAACACCUACCUACAUUACCCUUAAUUACUGGUGGUUUUGUGUUGUGUAACUACAGUUUGGUUAGACACAACCUUGUUAAAUCAGAACCUCAGACACAGUUUACACAUGGAAACCUGCUUUAGCCACUGAUGUUUAUAAGACCAAUGAAACCCAACACAAUCUAUGUGAUUAUGGUGAAAACCAUAUCUACUACUGCAUUACAACAUGCCAGUUUUGUGUACGUCUGGGUGCAUCGUGUGAGUAUGUGAUGAGUUAGGAGAGUAGCUAUGAUGUUUGGUAGCAAGUUCAGAGAACACAAGUGAAUUCUAAUUAAAUACCUAAAGACUAUAAGGAGGAAUUUUACAUGCAUUUGUAUGUGCGUACUACUGCUUUGUUCAUGUUGAGGUUUGCAGUUUCACAUGUAGACAGAUGCAAGGCAUUUCUGUGAAGUUUACAUUUGCGUAGGUAAAUAGUGAAAACAUGUAC
This is a long non-coding RNA of Polyodon spathula (Mississippi paddlefish), 1622 nucleotides long. RefSeq lists it as uncharacterized. The transcript has 3 exons. The record is from RefSeq and is a predicted model, not a curated record. Lineage: Eukaryota; Metazoa; Chordata; Actinopteri; Acipenseriformes; Polyodontidae.